Molecule: long non-coding RNA, 2089 nt
Organism: Apis mellifera (honey bee)
Lineage: Eukaryota; Metazoa; Arthropoda; Insecta; Hymenoptera; Apidae
Exons: 3
Source: RefSeq, a predicted model, not a curated record
AUUUUCGUCGAAACACAAGCUUUUGUGCGGAGAAUAAUAGAUGAGCACGCGCUUCCGCGGGGUUCACAACCCGAUGAAAUAUGUAGUCUAUGACAUAAUCGAAAGUCAGGCGGGCGCGGGAGCCUUGUUUAUUGGCGCUGCCGUCGACGUCAACGAGUGUAGUUCGUGCCUACGUCACUUUCGUCGUCGAAGGUGUUGCUGUCGUAGGUGGUGCGGUCGUUUCGGCCUUAGGUAACGCUGUCUGAAGAAGCCUCAGGAAGACACGGACGAGGUGGGGGUUUAUGGGUUUGCAUCCUAUGUACUACAUCGUAUCUCUAGUUAUGGCUCAACGACAAAACCCACCUAUAUAACCUGCGACAUCACUUUGUGUAUUGAACGUAUGAGCCAACAUUGAUCUACAUAUAUAACCUAUACGUAAUGCUUGCGAACAACACAUAGUUACUGUACAUACGCAUCACAGCUAUGGAUAUAGUUGUUUGACAUAGUGACUAGAACGAGAUAAAAUGAAAAGACUGUCUGGUAGAAAGUAACAGAUACGAGGGAGGCCGGCCAUAAAUUUUCUCCGAGAAGAAGAAUCAUUUGAUCAUUUACGAGUUUGCGCCGGCCAAGAAAGACACGAUUCCUCUUCGAUCAAAAAAUUGCUCGAAAAAUAUAUCAAGAUUUCUUCGAGAGGAAAAACAGGCGUCAUUUGAAAAAUUUUCUCAAAAAAUAUAUCUGGAAACAAAAAUCCGACGACGAGUCUCGAAAAGAUGAUGAUAAGAACGAAGGAUGAAAAAGAAUCUCGAAUUCCACCGAACAACUUUAAUUAUUAUCCUUCUCCCUCCUCCUCCACCUCCUCCACCACUCCACUCUUCGUAGCCACGAAAAAAAUAAAACAGAACGAGCCACUGCCGGUCCCACACUAUUUAUCCAAUCCCUCAACCCCUCGACGGAUCCGUGGAGUGGAGGCGCGUUAAUAGGAGCAAGUUUCGGCCAUGUGCUCGGCCGAGACUCGACGGGCAUAACUGCGCCUGCGCCCUAUUCCCUAUGUCUGACCCCCGCAAAACGUCACGCGACCUCUUCCAAACCUCUUCUUUUCCCUCCCCUCUCGCCACCCCACCCGCCGCCGCGCUCGUCGCUCCUCGCUCCUCGCCGGAUGGAUGCCACGAACUGUGAAAAAAGGAGGAAAAAAGAGGGACCGAGCGAGAGAAACUGGCUACCGGCGGCAGCCAUUUACGCAGGGAAGAAAGGGGGGGGGCGGGUGGCCGAGUUGCGAUCGUGCCGUGCGAUUCGUCCGAAAAUCGAUUCGAGAUUGAUUUGUUUCUUUCUUCCGAGAGACACUUUCGUAUGCACGAUCGAGAUCGAGUUGUAAUUCCUUGGAAAAAAAUUAAAAUUUUCUUCCCCUAUAUAUUGCGAAACAUUGCGCGAGUAUCACCAUAUAUAUAUACACACACACAUCACUACACCGAUGAAAAAAUUCCAGAGCUAAAUUCCUUUCGAGAGAGAGAGAGAGAGAGGAAAGGAAAAGAGAAGGAGAUGUUAUCACAUGUCGCUCGAUCCAACAACACCAACACUGCAUGUACUCGGUGACCGGCCCUUCCACUGCGCCCGAGGCGCAUCCCGUGCACCCGAUGCACCCCCCUUUACGCACUUAUAUCGUACUUCCUUCCAGGUAUAACCAUGCGCACUGCACGAAAAACGAAAGAGGCCGGCGGGAUCGUGGAAGAAAGGAAGGAAGGAAGGAAGGAAGGACGGAAGAAAGGAAGGAAGGAAGAGAGGGCUUAUUCGUGUAUCGAACAUUCGCGUCACGCUCGUAGGAAGCCGGCGGUCACAAAACGGCGAAAGGUUACGUACGAGCCAAUGGCGGCCAAUGGGCGUUCACGCGACGCUUCUCUCCUCGUCCAAAUCCAUCUAUCCAUCGAGGGGGACAUCUCCUCCGCGAAACAAUUCUCUAUCGUGCCCGAUCUCGUUAGGAAAUGUUCGAGUUUCGAAAAGCGCCACCUCGAAACAUCGAAGCUCGAGUUUGCGUGUCUAUAUUAUGUUAUAUCUAACCUAUAUUAUGUUUACCACGUGUGUUGGUACGAAUAAAGAAACUAGAUUUUUCCCUAGA